GAUGAACGCUAGCUACAGGCUUAACACAUGCAAGUCGAGGGGUAACAUUGGCGGAGCUUGCUCUGCCAGAUGACGACCGGCGCACGGGUGAGUAACGCGUGGGCAACCUGCCUCAUACUGGGGGAUAACAGUUGGAAACGGCUGUUAAUACCGCAUAAGCGCACAGUGUCGCAUGACACAGUGUGAAAAACUCCGGUGGUAUGAGAUGGGCCCGCGUCAGAUUAGCCAGUUGGCGGGGUAACGGCCCACCAAAGCGACGAUCUGUAGCCGGCCUGAGAGGGCGGACGGCCACAUUGGGACUGAGACACGGCCCAAACUCC
RNAcentral lists this ribosomal RNA (320 nucleotides) under uncultured Butyrivibrio sp. RNAcentral's name for it is "bacterial SSU rRNA". It matches the Rfam family "Bacterial small subunit ribosomal RNA", at positions 28 to 339 of the family's 1533-position model. Lineage: Bacteria; Bacillati; Bacillota; Clostridia; Lachnospirales; Lachnospiraceae. The record is from RNAcentral.